GGGAUUGCCUAGUACGGCGAGUGAAGCGGCAACAGCUCAAAUUUGAAAGCUAGCCUUCGGGUUCGCAUUGUAAUUUGUAGAGGAUGAUUUGGGGAAGCCGCCUGUCUAAGUUCCUUGGAACAGGACGUCAUAGAGGGUGAGAAUCCCGUAUGUGACAGGAAAUGGCACCCUAUGUAAAUCUCCUUCGACGAGUCGAGUUGUUUGGGAAUGCAGCUCUAAAUGGGAGGUAAAUUUCUUCUAAAGCUAAAUAUUGGCGAGAGACCGAUAGCGCACAAGUAGAGUGAUCGAAAGAUGAAAAGCACUUUGGAAAGAGAGUUAAAAAGCACGUGAAAUUGUUGAAAGGGAAGCGCUUGCAAUCAGACUUGUUUAAACUGUUCGGCCGGUCUUCUGACCGGUUUACUCAGUUUGGACAGGCCAGCAUCAGUUUCGGCGGCCGGAUAAAGGCUCUGGGAAUGUGGCCUCCACUUCGGUGGAGGUGUUAUAGCCCAGGGUGUAAUACGGCCAGCCGGGACUGAGGUCCGCGCUUCGGCUAGGAUGCUGGCGUAAUGGUUGUAAGCGACCCGUCUUGAACCACGGACCAAAC
Molecule: ribosomal RNA, 583 nt
Filed under: Aureobasidium pullulans
Lineage: Eukaryota; Fungi; Ascomycota; Dothideomycetes; Dothideales; Saccotheciaceae
Description: partial large subunit ribosomal RNA
Rfam family: Eukaryotic large subunit ribosomal RNA
Source: RNAcentral